UACGGGGGGGGCAAGCGUUGUUCGGAAUUACUGGGCGUAAAGGGCUCGUAGGCGGCCAACUAAGUCGGACGUGAAAUCCCUCGGCUUAACCGGGGAACUGCGUCCGAUACUGGAUGGCUUGAGUUUGGGAGAGGGAUGCGGAAUUCCAGGUGUAGCGGUGAAAUGCGUAGAUAUCGGGAAGAACACCCGUGGCGAAGGCGGCUCUCUGGGACGGUACUGACGCUGAGACGCGAAAGCGUGGGGAGCGAACAGG
This 253-nucleotide ribosomal RNA is filed under the name uncultured bacterium. RNAcentral describes it as "partial 16S ribosomal RNA". It matches the Rfam family "Bacterial small subunit ribosomal RNA", at positions 524 to 776 of the family's 1533-position model. The record is from RNAcentral.